CCUCAGCCCUUAGUUGCCAGCAUUCAGUUGGGCACUCUAAGGGGACUGCCGGUGAUAAGCCGAAAGGAAGGUGGGGAUGACGUCAAUUCCUCAUGGCCCUUACGGGCUGGGCUACACACGUGCUACAAUGGUGGUGACAGUGGGCAGCGAGACCGCGAGGUCAAGCUAAUCUCCAAAAGCCAUCUCAGUUCGGAUUGCACUCUGCAACUCGAGUGCAUGAAGUUGGAAUCGCUAGUAAUCGCGGAUCAGCAUGCCGCGGUGAAUACGUUCCCGGGCCUUGUACACACCGCCCGUCACACCAUGGGAGUUGGUUUUACCCGAAGGCGCUGUGCUAACCGCAAGGAGGCAGGCGACCACGGUAGGGUCAGCGACUGGGGUGAAUCGUAACAAGGUACCGUAGGGGA
RNAcentral lists this ribosomal RNA (404 nucleotides) under alpha proteobacterium W-2023a. Its description in RNAcentral is "bacterial SSU rRNA". It matches the Rfam family "Bacterial small subunit ribosomal RNA", at positions 1102 to 1509 of the family's 1533-position model. The record is from RNAcentral. Lineage: Bacteria; Pseudomonadati; Pseudomonadota; Alphaproteobacteria.